Molecule: ribosomal RNA, 324 nt
Filed under: uncultured eukaryote
Lineage: Eukaryota
Description: partial 18S ribosomal RNA
Rfam family: Eukaryotic small subunit ribosomal RNA
Source: RNAcentral
CCCUUAGAUGCUCUGGGCCGCACGCGCGCUACACUGGUCGAUGCAACGAGUUUCUUUCCUUGGCCGACAGGCCUGGGCAAUCUUUGAACAUCGAUCGUGAUCGGGAUAGAUUCUUGUAAUUUUUGGUCUUAAACGAGGAAUUCCUAGUAAACGCAAGUCAUCAGCUUGCAUUGAUUACGUCCCUGCCCUUUGUACACACCGCCCGUCGCACCUACCGAUUGAAUGGUCCGGUGAAAUCUCCGGACUGGCGUGAGUCGGAGCAAUCUGACAAACACCGGAAAGUUGAUUAAACCUUACCAUUUAGAGGAAGGUGAAGUCGUAACA